UACGUAGGGUGCAAGCGUUGUCCGGAAUUAUUGGGCGUAAAGCGCUCGCAGGCGGCUCGAUGCGUCGUGCGUGAAACACCCCGGCUCAACUGGGGAGGGUCGUGCGAUACGGUCGGGCUGGAGGCCAGUAGGGGGAUGCGGAAUUCCGGGUGUAGUGGUGGAAUGCGUAGAGAUCCGGAGGAACACCAGCGGCGAAGGCGGCAUCCUGGACUGGUCCUGACGCUCAGGAGCGAAAGCGUGGGGAGCAAACAGG
RNAcentral lists this ribosomal RNA (253 nucleotides) under uncultured bacterium. RNAcentral describes it as "partial 16S ribosomal RNA". It matches the Rfam family "Bacterial small subunit ribosomal RNA", at positions 524 to 776 of the family's 1533-position model. The record is from RNAcentral.